Molecule: ribosomal RNA, 254 nt
Filed under: uncultured bacterium
Lineage: Bacteria
Description: partial 16S ribosomal RNA
Rfam family: Bacterial small subunit ribosomal RNA
Source: RNAcentral
UACGGAGGGUGCAAGCGUUAUCCGGAUUCACUGGGUUUAAAGGGUGCGUAGGUGGGCAGUUAAGUCAGUGGUGAAAUCUCCGGGCUUAACCCGGAAACUGCCAUUGAUACUAUCUGUCUUGAAUACCGUGGAGGUAAGCGGAAUAUGUCAUGUAGCGGUGAAAUGCUUAGAUAUGACAUAGAACACCAAGUGCGAAGGCAGCUUACUACACGUACUAUUGACACUGAGGCACGAAAGCGUGGGGAUCAAACAGG